UGGGGAAUUUUGGACAAUGGGGGAAACCCUGAUCCAGCCAUCCCGCGUGUGCGAUGAAGGCCUUCGGGUUGUAAAGCACUUUUGGCAGGAAAGAAACGUCGCGGGUUAAUACCCCGCGAAACUGACGGUACCUGCAGAAUAAGCACCGGCUAACUACGUGCCAGCAGCCGCGGUAAUACGUAGGGUGCAAGCGUUAAUCGGAAUUACUGGGCGUAAAGCGUGCGCAGGCGGUUCGGAAAGAAAGAUGUGAAAUCCCAGAGCUUAACUUUGGAACUGCAUUUUUAACUACCGGGCUAGAGUGUGUCAGAGGGAGGUGGAAUUCCGCGUGUAGCAGUGAAAUGCGUAGAUAUGCGGAGGAACACCGAUGGCGAAGGCAGCCUCCUGGGAUAACACUGACGCUCAUGCACGAAAGCGUGGGGAGCAAACAGGAUUAGAUACCCUGGUAGUCCACGCCCUAAACGAUGUCAACUAGCUGUUGGGGCCUUCGGGCCUUGGUAGCGCAGCUAACGCGUGAAGUUGACCGCCUGGGGAGUACGGUCGCAAGAUUAAAACUCAAAAGGAAUU
This 564-nucleotide ribosomal RNA is filed under the name uncultured bacterium. RNAcentral's name for it is "partial 16S ribosomal RNA". It matches the Rfam family "Bacterial small subunit ribosomal RNA", at positions 355 to 911 of the family's 1533-position model. The record is from RNAcentral.